GUCGUCCCCGGGUGAGUCGAGUCCUAAGGCGAGGCCGACAGGCGUAGUCGAAUGGAUGAACGGGUUGAUAUUCCCGUACCGGUGUUACACCGUUCGAACUGAAUCUGAGAGUACUAACCUUCGUUAUUCUGGUUGAUUGCCUUUCGGGGUUUUCUUCUGGUUUAGUGUUGGGACUGUAUCGGUAGUAGGUUAGCGUGGGAGUGACGCGGGUAGGUAGCCGGCUGCGGAGGUGGUUUUCCGUGGCUAAGCGUGUGGGCUGUCCUCUAGGUAAAUCCGGGGGAUGUUUAAGCUGAGGCGUGAUGGGUAGGCUGUAAGGCUGAUUCCGGUGAUCCUGCUUGCCGAGAAAAGCUUCAACGUGAGGUGUGAUUCCGCUCGUACCCUAAACCGACACUGGUGGUCUGGUAGAGUAUACCAAAGCGAUCGGGCGAAUCCUGGCCAAGGAACUCGGCAAAUUACUCCCGUGCCUUCGGCAUAAGGGAGACCCCUGAUGGUGAUGUUUUUUACAAGCGGAGCUGUUGGGGGUGGCACAAGCUAGGGGGUAGCGACUGUUUACCAAAAACACAGGAGCGUGCGAAGGCGUAAGCCGCUGUAUACGCUCUGACGCCUGCCCGGUGCCGGAAGGUUAA
This 626-nucleotide ribosomal RNA is filed under the name Gardnerella vaginalis. RNAcentral's name for it is "bacterial LSU rRNA". It matches the Rfam family "Bacterial large subunit ribosomal RNA", at positions 1368 to 1880 of the family's 2925-position model. The record is from RNAcentral. Lineage: Bacteria; Bacillati; Actinomycetota; Actinomycetes; Bifidobacteriales; Bifidobacteriaceae.